RNAcentral lists this ribosomal RNA (444 nucleotides) under uncultured bacterium. RNAcentral's name for it is "partial 16S ribosomal RNA". It matches the Rfam family "Bacterial small subunit ribosomal RNA", at positions 339 to 795 of the family's 1533-position model. The record is from RNAcentral.
CUACGGGGUGCACCAGUGGGGAAUAUUGCGCAAUGGGCGGAAGCCUGACGCAGCAACGCCGUGUGAGGGAUGACGGCCUUCGGGUUGUAAACCUCUUUCAGCAGGGAAGAAGCGAGAGUGACGGUACCUGCAGAAGAAGCACCGGCUAACUACGUGCCAGCAGCCGCGGUAAUACGUAGGGUGCAAGCGUUGUCCGGAUUUAUUGGGCGUAAAGAGCUCGUAGGCGGUUAGUCGCGUCGGAUGUGAAAUCCUAGAGCUUAACUCUGGGCCUGCAUUCGAUACGGGCUGACUCGAGUAUUGUAGGGGAGACUGGAACUCCUGGUGUAGCGGUGAAAUGCGCAGAUAUCAGGAAGAACACCGGUGGCGAAGGCGGGUCUCUGGGCAAUUACUGACGCUGAGGAGCGAAAGCGUGGGGAGCAAACAGGAUUAGAUACCCCCGUAGUC